UGUUGUUUUGUACCUUUCUCACCUUAUCGUUAAUUUUUUAUGGUUGGUGACCAUUUGGCAGUCUAGGAUAAAAUAUUUUAUGUUAUAAGAUGACGAAAUAAAGGUGGGAUGUCCAGUAGGGAAAUAUGACGAGAAGUAUACUGCGAUAUUAAAUCUAGAUCGCUUUUAGCAUUGUGCAGACUGAGCGACGUAAUCAAAAUUUGACCAAUCACUAAACACCCAUGUUCUUUAACUUUCUCAUUAGUGUGACAUUUAUUAACGAUAUUGCAUCGUAUAUAUAGUUUAAUAACGAAUUGUAUUCAAAAAGAUAGACGGUUUAAUCCGAAUCAGUUGUCACAAUGUCUCUCUGCUGUGUGGUUUUAUUGUGCCUUGUGUCUUCUCUUAUCCCGACCUCAGGGUCACAUUCUGGAUUCAGGCCCAACGUCAUACCAGUUUACCGUAGGAUUUCGUCGUCCAAAUUAGCCAGUUUAUUUCCCAGUUAUCUAAAGAAAAUGGUCAGGCGGAACCCCAUUAGCAGGCCCCGCCCACCGUUUUUGUUUUCUUCCUCUGACAAGAUUCCAAUGGUCGUUAAAAAUGGAUCUAAGAGUCCCAUUAUUUCCAAAAACUUUUUGAAUCGAGGUUGUCCUGUCCUUCGAUGUCCGGAUUUGAGAGUUCGUUCCAGGUGCAAGGUGCCCGUUCUAUUCCGAUACAACGGAAGACUGUGUCGAGGAUGCAACAGAAAUGUCUGCUCGAACAACACAUGGAGGAAUUAACAGUAAAUACAACAAAGUACGUGUCUUGGAAAAAUAUAUACAGACAUACAUGCAGCC
This is a long non-coding RNA of Saccostrea echinata, 809 nucleotides long. RefSeq lists it as uncharacterized. The record is from RefSeq and is a predicted model, not a curated record. The transcript is spliced from 3 exons. NCBI's taxonomy places the organism in Eukaryota, Metazoa, Mollusca, Bivalvia, Ostreida, Ostreidae.